This 206-nucleotide ribosomal RNA is filed under the name uncultured Syntrophaceae bacterium. RNAcentral's name for it is "partial 16S ribosomal RNA". It matches the Rfam family "Bacterial small subunit ribosomal RNA", at positions 568 to 774 of the family's 1533-position model. Lineage: Bacteria; Pseudomonadati; Thermodesulfobacteriota; Syntrophia; Syntrophales; Syntrophaceae. The record is from RNAcentral.
CGUGUACGGCGGCUUAACAAGUCAGAUGUGAAAUCCUGGGCUUAACCAGGAAGUGCAUUUGAAACUGUUUGGCUUGAGUAAGGGAGAGGAAAGUGGAAUUCCUGGUGUAGAGGUGAAAUUCGUAGAUAUCAGGAGGAACACCGGUGGCGAAGGCGACUUUCUGGCCCUAUACUGACGCUGAGACGCGAAAGCGUGGGUAGCAAACA